UACGUAGGAUGCAAGCGCUGUCCGGAUUUAUUGGGUUUAAAGGAUGCGUAGGCGACAUAUUAAGUUAGUGGUGAAAACGUUUGGCUUAACCGGAUACCCGCCAUUGAUACUGAUAGACUUGAGUGCGACAGAGGGUGUUGGAAUGUGUGGUGUAGCGGUGAAAUGCUUAGAUAUCACGCAGAACACCAAUUGCGAAGGCAGAUGCCUAUGUCGUAACUGACGCUGAGGCACGAAAGCGUGGGGAGCAAACAGG
Molecule: ribosomal RNA, 253 nt
Filed under: uncultured bacterium
Lineage: Bacteria
Description: partial 16S ribosomal RNA
Rfam family: Bacterial small subunit ribosomal RNA
Source: RNAcentral